This 452-nucleotide ribosomal RNA is filed under the name uncultured bacterium. RNAcentral describes it as "bacterial SSU rRNA". It matches the Rfam family "Bacterial small subunit ribosomal RNA", at positions 28 to 486 of the family's 1533-position model. The record is from RNAcentral.
GACGAACGCUGGCGGCGUGCUUAACACAUGCAAGUCACGGGGGCCCGCAAGGGUAACCGGCGAACGGGUGCGUAACACGUGAACAACCUGCCCUCGUGUGGGGGAUAGCCAUGCUAACGCGUGGGUAAUACCGCAUACGUUCUCCGAAGGGAUUCCUUUGGAGAGGAAAGCUCCGGCGCACGGGGAGGGUUCGCGGCCUAUCAGCUAGUUGGCGGGGUAAUGGCCCACCAAGGCGACGACGGGUGGCCGGUCUGAGAGGACGAUCAGCCACACUGGGACUGAGACACGGCCCAGACUCCUACGGGAGGCAGCAGUGGGGAAUCUUGCGCAAUGGGCGAAAGCCUGACGCAGCGACGCCGCGUGGGGGAAGAAGGCUCUCGGUUGUAAACCCCUUUCAGGAAGGACGAAGCUACUCGGGUUAAUAGCCCAGGAGGGUGACGGUACUUCCAGAA